GAUAAGUAAUGUGAAUUGCAGAUUUUCAGUGAAUCAUCGAAUCUUUGAACGCACCUUGCGCUCCUUGGUAUUCCGAGGAGCAUGCCUGUUUGAGUGUCAUUAAAUUCUCAACUCUACCGAUUUGUUUCGGGCAGAGCUUGGAUUUGGAGYGUGCUGGCCCUUHCCUGGGUCGGCUCCUCUUUAAAUGCAUCAGCGGAGUCUUCUUUGACUUCCGGUAUCAGUGUGAUAAUCAUGUUGCGCUGUUGGCCGAGGUCUUAGUCCGCUUACAAUGGUCUUHGGACAACAUAUCAAAUUUUGACCUCAAAUCAGGUAGGAUUACCCGCUGAACUUAAGCAUAUCAAUAAGCGGAGGAAAAGAAACUAACAAGGAUUCCCCUAGUAACUGCGAGUGAAGCGGGAAAAGCUCAAAUUUAAAAUCUGGCGGUCUCCGGCCGUCCGAGUUGUAAUCUGGAGAAGCGUUUUCUGCGYUGGACCGUGUACAAGUUUUCUGGAAUGGAACGUCAUAGAGGGUGAGAAUCCCGUCUUUGACACGGACUACCAAUGCUUUGUGAUACGCUCUCGAAGAGUCGAGUUGUUUGGGAAUGCAGCUCAAAAUGGGUGGUAAAUUCCAUCUAAAGCUAAAUAUUGGCGAGAGACCGAUAGCGAACAAGUACCGUGAGGGAAAGAUGAAAAGCACUUUGGAAAGAGAGUUAAACAGUACGUGAAAUUGUUGAAAGGGAAACGUUUGAAGUCAGUCGCGUCGGCCGAGACUCAACCUUACUUUUGUUCGGUGUACUUCUCGGUCGACGGGUCAACAUCAAUUUUGAUCGUCGGAUAAARGCUUGGGGAAUGUGGCAUCUCUCGGGAUGUGUAUAGCCCCUGGGUUCACAUACGACGGUUGGGAUUGAGGAACUCAGCACGCCUUUAUGGUCGGGGUUCGCCCACGUAACGUGCUUAGGAUGUUGCAUAAUGGCUUUAAGCGACCCGUCUUGAAACACGGACCAAGGAGUCUAACAUGCCUGCGAGUGUUUGGGUGGUAAACCCGAGCGCGUAAUGAAAGUGAUAGUUGAGAUCCCUGUCGUGGGGAGCAUCGACGCCCGGACCAGACCUUUUGUGACGGAUCUGCGGUAGAGCAUGUAUGUUGGGACCCGAAAGAUGGUGAACUAUGCCUGAAUAGGGUGAAGCCAGAGGAAACUCUGGUGGAGGCUCGUAGCGAUUCUGACGUGCAAAUCGAUCGUCAAAUUUGGGUAUAGGGGCGAAAGACUAAUCGAACCAUCUAGUAGCUGGUUCCUGCCGAGUUUCCCUCCGGAUAGCUGACUCUCGUAUCCKGUUUCUGUGGUCCHGCGAVUGUUUCGGGGCCUUGGGGUUGGUUCCACCUUAACUAUUCUC
Molecule: ribosomal RNA, 1367 nt
Filed under: Leptosporomyces galzinii
Lineage: Eukaryota; Fungi; Basidiomycota; Agaricomycetes; Atheliales; Atheliaceae
Description: eukaryotic LSU rRNA
Rfam family: Eukaryotic large subunit ribosomal RNA (bases 296-1367)
Source: RNAcentral